GACGAACGCUGGCGGCGUGCUUAACACAUGCAAGUCGAACGGAAAGGCCCUGCUUGCAGGGUACUCGAGUGGCGAACGGGUGAGUAACACGUGGGUGAUCUGCCCUGCACCUCGGGAUAAGCCUGGGAAACUGGGUCUAAUACCGGAUAGGAGCCAUUUUUAGUGUGAUGGUUGGAAAGUUUUUUUCGGUGUAGGAUGAGCUCGCGGCCUAUCAGCUUGUUGGUGGGGUAAUGGCCUACCAAGGCGGCGACGGGUAGCCGGCCUGGGAGGGUGGACGGCCACAUUGGGACUGAGAUACGGCCCAGACUCCUACGGGAGGCAGCAGUGGGGAAUAUUGCACAAUGGGCGCAAGCCUGAUGCAGCGACGCCGCGUGGGGGAUGACGGCCUUCGGGUUGUAAACUCCUUUCGCUAGGGACGAAGCUUUUUGUGACGGUACCUAGAUAAGAAGCACCGGCUAACUACGUG
This 466-nucleotide ribosomal RNA is filed under the name uncultured bacterium. RNAcentral describes it as "partial 16S ribosomal RNA". It matches the Rfam family "Bacterial small subunit ribosomal RNA", at positions 28 to 507 of the family's 1533-position model. The record is from RNAcentral.